AGUGAACGCUGGCGGUAGGCCUAACACAUGCAAGUCGAACGGCAGCACAGUAAGAGCUUGCUCUUACGGGUGGCGAGUGGCGGACGGGUGAGGAAUACAUCGGAAUCUACUUUUUCGUGGGGGAUAACGUAGGGAAACUUACGCUAAUACCGCAUACGACCUACGGGUGAAAGCAGGGGAUCUUCGGACCUUGCGCGAUUGAAUGAGCCGAUGUCGGAUUAGCUAGUUGGCGGGGUAAAGGCCCACCAAGGCGACGAUCCGUAGCUGGUCUGAGAGGAUGGUCAGCCACACUGGAACUGAGACACGGUCCAGACUCCUACGGUAGGCAGCAGUGGGGAAUAUUGGACAAUGGGCGCAAGCCUGAUCCAGCCAUACCGCGUGGGUGAAGAAGGCCUUCGGGUUGUAAAGCCCUUUUGUUGGGAAAGAAAAGCAGCAGGUUAAUACCCCGCUGUUCUGACGGUACCCAAAGAAUAAGCACCGGCUAACUUCGUG
Molecule: ribosomal RNA, 492 nt
Filed under: uncultured bacterium
Lineage: Bacteria
Description: partial 16S ribosomal RNA
Rfam family: Bacterial small subunit ribosomal RNA
Source: RNAcentral